This 3396-nucleotide long non-coding RNA is filed under the name Gossypium barbadense (sea-island cotton). RNAcentral's name for it is "long non-coding RNA (GBAR_LNC007784)". The record is from RNAcentral. Lineage: Eukaryota; Viridiplantae; Streptophyta; Magnoliopsida; Malvales; Malvaceae.
GAAAUAGUUAAAUAAAAAUUAAAGUAAAAGGAAAGGUAUAAAUUACAAAUGACAGAAAGUUGCCGAGGACCAAAUCACUAUGCGCUCGAAGUUGUGGGGACGAAAUGGGACAAUAUCCCAAGUCCUAUGCGCUUCGUUUCAUUUGUCCAGGUCGGGGACUAAAUCAGAAAUGAAAUACAAUAAUAGGGCAAAAAAAAAAACACGAAUCAGGACCACAUUGUAAUGCGGUUCAAAAUCAAAGGGACUCGCCACAUAAAUAGCCCCAUUUUUUGUUUUAUCUCAUUUAGCCCUAGGAAACUUUAAAAGAACGCAGCCCCUUCCAUCCUCUCCCCCUCUUUCUUGCGACUAGAGUCUCAAAGCCCUCAUGGCCGCCGUUGCCAUGGUACCACCGCAGGUGGUGGUCGAUGACUCGAGGAGAAGGGUUUGUUCGACCCCUUUUGGAUCCAUAUUCGGGGAUCUAGUAUUUCCUCCAUGAGAAAUCGAAAUGGAAGCCCCCCAUCUUCGUUGGAUUCGGUUCAAACGGAGAAGAACUCCGACAGUGCCGACGGUUCAAGAUUUAGGUAACAGCUUUCUCUCUUCCUUUUCUUCUUUUUCGUUUUAAAACAGAUUUUUUGUAAAGAAAAUAAAAAAAAAAUAAAACAGAAGAUGUAUAUACAAAUAAAGAAACGGAAAUGAAGGGACGCAAGAAUGAAUUUCAACCCCUUUUUUUUCUGAUUGCUUGAAUCCUGGUACAAAACUUUUGUUCUUUUUAUUUCUUUUUUCCCUUUUUUAGAAUACCAUCGGUUCCCCCUAAAAUACAAUCGAUUCCCCCUUUGAAAUAUCAAAAAUCCUCCCCCCAUUAAUACCUUCGUUUCUUCUCGGCUUUAUAGUAGGUUACAAUAUUAGGAAAAUAUUAUUUAUUUUUGUCAUUUUCGUUUGUCUGCUUCUGUCUUGGUGUCUGCUUCAUUUUGCAGGUGUCAGAUGACCCUCAGAGGCGUGCGGGGUGGCGAUGACAGAGGCGUGGUGGCCGAGCACGCGUGGGGAGGCCAAUGGUUCGGCGGCCACAUGCUUGGGGCUAGGGUUUUUUACUUGUUUAGCAGAAAAUAUUUUGUGGGCUAAGUUUUUAUGUUUAUUGGGCUUAUUGGGCUUGCAACUAGGUAAUGGGUUUUGUCAUUGUUUUAUUUGGUUUUUGAGCCUCGGGCAAAAUUUGGGCCAUACAAUCAUUUAAUUAAUCGUGUUUGUUUUUUUUGGUUCAGUUCUAUUAAUUGUCAGUUAAACCUAAUCGUAAGUCGAACCACUUGCCUAGCCCCGAAGGCUCACCUAAAAAGUGGAAGGAUUUGGGAAAAUAUAUAGGCCCGGAAAAUGCGCUUAAACAAAAAAUAAGGUCCGUUUUCUAAACAAGUCAGGCCUAGGGUAAGAUUUUUUUGGCUUAAGCCGGUCCGAAAUUACUUAAUUUUUUUUACUGUUAUUUUGCUAUCCUUUGUUGUUAUUUGCUGUCAUUUUGAUGUUGUUUUGCUACCAUUUUGUUAUUAGUGUUUAGAUAUUGUAUAAUUCUUGCACUACAGGAAAAUAGGGCUUUAGCGGCGUUUUAUCAAAAAACGCCGCAAAAAUUGUAAAACACAGAGCAAUAGCCGCUAAAAACUGAGCAAUAGCGGCGCUUUUGGUAAAACGCCGCUAAAAGACAGAGCUUUAGCGGCGUUUUUGGUAAAACAGACAGAGAUUUAGCGGCGCUUUUGGUAAAACGCCGCUAAAAGACAGCACAUUAGCGAUGCUUUUAGUAAAACGUCGCUAAAAGACAGAGCAGUAGCGGCGCUUUUAGUAAAACGCCGCUAAAAGACAGAGCAUUAGCGGCGCUUUUGGUAAAACGCCGCUAAAAGUCAUAUAACUCUUAAAAUCUUAAACCCCAAAAAAAUCAUAAGCACUGCUUUAUAACCCCUAAAAUAGUAAACUCUUAAAUCCUAACAAACCCUAAACACUAAACUAUAACCUUUAAAACCCUAAAUGACGCAAUAGGUGCAUUUUUAGCGGCGCUUGGUUAUAAACGCUGCUAAUAUUAAAUUAUUUUGUUGAAAAUUUCGUCGUUUAUCUGUCUUAUAUAUUUUUUACCCACACCUGAAACACUUAAUAUUUUCUCCAUUUUUCCCUAGUUCUAUUUCCCUCUUCUUCCUCAUCCUAAAUCCCUAAAGUAUUAUCACCCAUUCUCAAAUUCGACAUUCAAAUCCCUAGCGAAUUUAAUAAUAAUAAUAAAAGUAAUUUUAAUAAUUAAACUUAAAUUCAGAAAUUUGAAACAUAGAGGAAUUAAAUUCUUAAGAAUAGAAAUAUAAUGACUAAAUAUUAAUUUUACGAAAAGUACAAAUACUUAUCUCAUAUUUUAGCUUUUACAGAUUAAGUGGUUUAGUAUUCAAUUUGUUAAAGUAUGUUAAGAGAAUUACUUUUUCUUUUUUAAGAUUUAACACUUCUAUGUGAGAAAAUAUUAUUUAACUCGUAUAUUUAUUAAAAGUUUAUAUAAAAAUUAAUUUAAAAGUCUAUAUAAAAAUUAAUUGUUAUUUUAAUCAUAAAGUUAAUUGUGUUUCGAAUUUUUAUUAUAGAAAAAUAUUUGUUAAAAAUGAAAAAAAUUAAAAUACUGUUAUUUAAAAUAAUUUUAAAGUUUUUUGGGUAUAUGACUUAUUGUUUUUUAAUUUAUAUAUUAAAUAAAUUCUUAUAUAAUAGUAAAAGAGAUAUAUAGUCUUAAUAAAUUUUAAAAUAUUAAAUUAAUUAUCAUUAUAGUUUAAGAUUUAUGGCUUAGCGUAUAUGAUUUAGGGUUUAAAAUAUAAGAGUUACUAUUUUAAGGUUUAUGAAUUAUGGAUUAUGGGUUUAUGGAUUAUGGUUUACAGUUUAUGGUUUAAGGGUUGGGGUUUAAGGUUUAGGUGUUAGGGGUUAUGGGUUAGGGGUUAUGGGUUAUGGAUUUAAGGGUUAUGUUGUAUGAUUUAGGGUUUAGGGGAUAAAAGUUAGGGGUUUAGGUUUAGAUUAGUUACUUAGUAUUUUUUAAUUUAUAUAUUAAAUAAUUUCUUAUAUAUUCGUAAAAGAGAUAAUAUUAAGGCUCCGUUUGUUUGCAGGUAAAAUGUUUUCUGGAAAAUAAUUUCUGGAAAAUAAUUUCUUGAAAAAUGAUUUAUGGAAAAUGAUUUACUUUUCUGGUGUUUGGAUGAAUCUGUGUAAAAUAUUUUCUGUUGUUUGGCAGAUUUCCUGAAAAUAUUUUUCUGAAAAGCUGUUUUAAUAAAAAUUUAUAUAUUUAAGAAUUUAUUAUCUUUUCCUUGUUUGAUUGAGUUUACUUUAUAUAUAUAUAUUAAUAAAUUUAUAUUUUAAAUUUAUAUAUUAAUAAAAAAUUUUCCUUCAUAUUUUACCCAGGUAUAAUACGUUGCUGCUGGUGCUCUAUUUGAA